CACGGGUGAGUAACGCGUAGAUAACCUAGUCUUCAUGUCUGGAAUAAUAGCCAAAGGGGUACUAAUACCGGAUAUCUUGCUUUUCAUAAGUAUGCAAGCAAAGGUGGCCUCUGCAUAUGCUACUGCAUGAAGAGGGGUCUGCGUACCAUUAGCUAGUAGGUGGGGUAAUGGCCUACCUAGGCGACGAUGGUUAGCGGGUCUGAGAGGAUGAUCCGCCACACUGGCACUGGAACACGGGCCAGACUCCUACGGGAGGCAGCAGUGAGGAAUAUUGCGCAAUGGGGGAAACCCUGACGCAGCGACGCCGCGUGAGUGAGGAAAAGGCCUUCGGGUCGUAAAGCUCUGUCAAGAGGAAAGAAGUGUACAAUGGCUAAUACCUGUUGUAUUUGACGGUACCUCUAAAGGAAGCACCGGCUAACUCCGUGCCAGCAGCUGC
This 436-nucleotide ribosomal RNA is filed under the name uncultured bacterium. Its description in RNAcentral is "bacterial SSU rRNA". It matches the Rfam family "Bacterial small subunit ribosomal RNA", at positions 100 to 518 of the family's 1533-position model. The record is from RNAcentral.